GAUGAACGCUGGCGGCGUGCCUAAUACAUGCAAGUAGAACGCUGAAGGAGGAGCUUGCUCUUUCCGGAUGAGUUGCGAACGGGUGAGUAACGCGUAGGUAACCUGCCUGGUAGCGGGGGAUAACUAUUGGAAACGAUAGCUAAUACCGCAUACAGUAGAUAUUGCAUGAUAUUUGCUUGAAAGGGGCAAUUGCUCCACUACCAGAUGGACCUGCGUUGUAUUAGCUAGUUGGUGAGGUAACGGCUCACCAAGGCGACGAUACAUAGCCGACCUGAGAGGGUGAUCGGCCACACUGGGACUGAGACACGGCCCAGACUCCUACGGGAGGCAGCAGUAGGGAAUCUUCGGCAAUGGACGGAAGUCUGACCGAGCAACGCCGCGUGAGUGAAGAAGGUUUUCGGAUCGUAAAGCUCUGUUGUAAGAGAAGAACGAGUGUGAGAGUGGAAAGUUCACACUGUGACGGUAGCUUACCAGAAAGGGACGGCUAACUACGUG
RNAcentral lists this ribosomal RNA (495 nucleotides) under uncultured bacterium. RNAcentral describes it as "partial 16S ribosomal RNA". It matches the Rfam family "Bacterial small subunit ribosomal RNA", at positions 28 to 507 of the family's 1533-position model. The record is from RNAcentral.